AUGAGUUUCCUCCUGUGGAGUGGGUCUUUUACCAAAUGUGAAAGCUGUUGGUUAUACCAUAGCCUAAAUGCCAUUGUUGCACCAAUGGUAUUGCUAGCCUGGCUGGUCAUAUUAAUAGCUCUCAAGGUUCACAACUGGGCAAGACUGUUGAUAGAUAUUUUCUCCCGUGACAGUUUGCAUAUCACCUUCUGGAACUAUGAAAGCCAGCAGGAAGGAAGUUCGGGGGAAUCGAACAGGGUCUGGUGCUUACAAGAAUGCAAGAUCUGGUUAAGAAAAAAGGAAAAUAAACACUGUCAACGAAAUUCAGUGGGCAGAAGAAAGGUCAGAACUUUGGUAAUCCAAAGCCGGAGCCUAUGUCUGUGACUGAGUAAAUACAGUGAUUCCUAACAAGGUGGAUUGUGUCAGGACAACUGGCAGAAUGUCCAAGCUUCUGUAUUCUGUUGUCACAGGUACAUCCUUCACACUGCCCUCCGUGCUCAUUCUGGCUUACUGAAGUUGGAAGAAGAACAAAGGAAAUUAUGCAGGCACUGUGGGUGAUAAUUAACAUAAGAAGGAUGCACAUUCUAAGAAGAGAAUUUGGUUUACAAACUCACAUAAAGAUGCAAAAUUCUUUCUAUGUGUCUUCCAAAAAUGACCAAAAGAAAAAAGUUAAAGAGAAAAUGAACAAACAAGCAAAAAACAAAACAAACAAACAUAAAACAGGAAAUAUGGAGUCUAUCUUAAGCAAAAAUAGAAAUGGUUGCCAAUGGUUACCAUGAGCUUGGAUAUAUUUCUUUGUCAUAUGGUAAGGUUGGGUUGAGGGAGUGAUACCAAAGCUCACUUGAUGUGGAAAUGGGUACAGAGUUUCAUGGAGUUCCACAAGCCUGAAAGGAGUGUUCAGCAACACAUCAGUUAAAAAAGGAGACUCUAAGGUUGCUAGCAGCUCUAGAAAAAAGGUGAGGUGAUGUACAUGGAAACCACUGGUCCAGAGACCUGGUCUCUUUAAUAGCAUUUGUGACUUUUUGUAGUUUAAGCCGCCAAAUUCAUUCUCUCCACCUACUCUGACCAUUUAAUGUCUGGCAAAGAGGAAAGUAAAGAGUGAAGAUGGCAUUCACUGGUUCAUAAAUCAAAAGGCUGACAUGUGGAGUCUGUAUGAGACAAACUAAUCUUCCAAAUUCUCAAAACAGAAGGAAUGGGCAUAUGCUCCAAGGAGUGGAAAUGUUAAAUUUGGUGAAUGUGUUUUGGAAAACAAUACCCAAAUCAAGAUGAAUACUUCUUCAAAGAACUUCAGAGAACUUUUCCUGGAACUUUUGCUUCUUCAUCUUUCACUGUAUGAAGCAACACUCAGCAAGUACUUUGUCACAUUUUUAAGAAAAUUAGUUAAGACUGGAUCACAGACUUGAUGCAAAAACAUUAACUAACAGAGUAAUACAAGAACAAUAAAAAAUGCAUAUUACAGAGGGGUAGUGGAGAGGAAUAUUUUCCACUUACCCCAGACAUUUAGGGCAUUAGUCAUCUUGAUUACACUUGCAUGGAAAUAUUGAGCACAAAGACAAUGAGGAGUUCUAGUAAAAAUUACAUGAUAAUAGAAGGUGAGAAGGGUUCGAUAAAUGACAAAAAUAUCCUAAGUGAAAGCCCUACGGAAAGUUCUUAACACAGAUAGGUGAAUUCCAAAAGAAGGUAACACUUGUCUUCUACAGAAGAUCAUUUCCAGAAAUGACACAGAGAUCAUGAGUGUGGUGACUUUCAACUUUUCCCUCUCUAUCUCAUUCUUAUCUGAGAGUCCUGAGAUGUGUAGGAGACUGGGCUCUUGGGUAUUGUAUAAAAUUGAAAUAAAAUCCUUUAACUUUUAGCUAAG
Molecule: long non-coding RNA, 1837 nt
Filed under: Cricetulus griseus (Chinese hamster)
Lineage: Eukaryota; Metazoa; Chordata; Mammalia; Rodentia; Cricetidae
Description: lncRNA (ENSCGRG00000024791.1)
Source: RNAcentral